This is a small nuclear RNA of Lycium ferocissimum, 103 nucleotides long. Lineage: Eukaryota; Viridiplantae; Streptophyta; Magnoliopsida; Solanales; Solanaceae. The record is from RefSeq and is a predicted model, not a curated record.
GAUUCUUUCGGGGACAUUCGAGAAAAUUAAAACAACACAUAAAAGAUUAACAUGGCUUUUGUGCAAAGAUAACACACAAAUUGAAAAUUAGUCCAAAAUAUUU